GCCAGAGAGCCAUGAGCUGGCCAUGCACGUUCACGUGAGAGUUAGCUUGAGUUCCAUUGCACUUCUGAAGACAAAGGAAUUCUCCGGUUGGAACAUUAUUGAAGAUUUAUGUUAAAAACAUCCUAAAGAUUGAUUCUAUACAUCGUUUGACAUGUUUCUACGGACUGUAACAGAACUUUUUGACUUUUCGUCUGCUCCUAGUGAUCGCACGUCGUGAAUUUGGAUUACUGGGCUAAACGCGCAAACAAAAAGGAGGUAUUUGGACAUAAAUGAUGGACAUUACGAACAGAACAAACAUUUAUUGUGGAACUGGGAUUCCUGGGAUUCCUUAUAAUGCUAUUUCUGACCUCUGUUGACUACACAACAUGGCGGAUAUCUGUUUGGGUUGUUUUGGUCUCUGAGCGCUGUACUCAGAUUAUAGCAUGGUGUGCUUUUUCGGUAAAGCUUUUUUGAAAUCUGACACAGAGGUUGCAUUAAGGAGAAGUGUAUCUAUAAUUCCGUGCAUAAUAGUUGUAUCUUUUAUAAAUGUUUAUUAUGAGUAUUUCUGUAAAUUGAUGUGGCUCUCUGCAAAAUCACCGGAUGUUUUGGAACUACUGAAUGUAACGCGCCAAUGUAUACUGAGAUUUUUUUAUAUAAAUAUGAACUUUAUCGAACAAAACAUACAUGUAUUGUGUAACAUGAAGUCCUAUGAGUGUCAUCUGAUGAAGAUCAUCAAAGGAAGGACAACUGUCAACCAGCAAGAGAUGAUUCAAACACAGCUCUCUAAUCCAUCCCCAGGGACGGCUGAAAGAACCAGAGGUAACUUUAGG
Long non-coding RNA from Oncorhynchus tshawytscha (Chinook salmon), 809 nucleotides. NCBI's taxonomy places the organism in Eukaryota, Metazoa, Chordata, Actinopteri, Salmoniformes, Salmonidae. The record is from Ensembl.